GCCAGGCAGGGCAUAGGUCUAUAUCACCCGUUCUGAGAGAUUAUCUUGCUGUCAAAGGUACACCUCUUGGCAGGUCUAGGAAGUGUAUGGAGGAUGCCCCCUGCACCAGGGACAUGGUGAGGGCUGGAGAUGCUGAAAGACUCCAAAUGUCAUUUCACGGAGUCACAGAACUGAGUGUGAAGAAACAGGAAUCCUUCCACAAAUUUCUAACUUCCUUCUUUUUCCUAUAAUGCCAGCUUUCCAUUUCCAACCUCUUUAAUAUUAAAAUUGAACACUUUUUCCUAAACUGUUACCCUGAUUAUUUAAGCUAUCAUUAUUAAAUUUUUCUCAGUGGCCUU
Molecule: long non-coding RNA, 338 nt
Organism: Ochotona princeps (American pika)
Lineage: Eukaryota; Metazoa; Chordata; Mammalia; Lagomorpha; Ochotonidae
Exons: 2
Source: RefSeq, a predicted model, not a curated record